GACGAACGCUGGCGGCGUGCUUAAUACAUGCAAGUCGAACGGAAAGGCCCUGCUUUUGUGGGGUGCUCGAGUGGCGAACGGGUGAGUAACACGUGAGUAACCUGCCCUUGACUUUGGGAUAACUUCAGGAAACUGGGGCUAAUACCGGAUAGGAGCUCCUGCUGCAUGGUGGGGGUUGGAAAGUUUCGGCGGUUGGGGAUGGACUCGCGGCUUAUCAGCUUGUUGGUGGGGUAGUGGCUUACCAAGGCUUUGACGGGUAGCCGGCCUGAGAGGGUGACCGGCCACAUUGGGACUGAGAUACGGCCCAGACUCCUACGGGAGGCAGCAGUGGGGAAUACUGCACAAUGGGCGGAAGCCUGAUGCAGCAACGCCGCGUGCGGGAUGACGGCCUUCGGGUUGUAAACCGCUUUCGCCUGUGACGAAGCGUGAGUGACGGUAAUGGGUAAAGAAGCACCGGCUAACUACGUG
This 468-nucleotide ribosomal RNA is filed under the name uncultured bacterium. Its description in RNAcentral is "partial 16S ribosomal RNA". It matches the Rfam family "Bacterial small subunit ribosomal RNA", at positions 28 to 507 of the family's 1533-position model. The record is from RNAcentral.